UUUUCAUGUUUGGGUUUCCUAAGUGAGAGGAAGCAACUGAAAGAAAGGGAACAGCUGGCUGGAAGAGCCACCCUGAGAGUCGGGCACUGCGGCUGGAGGGGAUUGCAGAGGCAAAGCUAGACUAGGUCUUGGAAGCUGGUGUAAGGCGGUGCGCGGAAGGCAGGACGCUGAUGGGAGAGACUGGUCGAAGAAAAGCCGAAAUGGAUUCUCCGUGCCUUGGAUGGAGAAAGAGGGGGGAAGUGCGAGCUCCUUCAACUCGUUCUGUCCGGUGAGGAGUGAUCCAGCUUGGGCUGACGAGAGGCUCCGGAGCCUUCACGUUCAGUGCUUUUUACCUGCCAAUCAAACUGCUACAAGACAACACCCUGAUCUGGCAUGGUCGCGCGCAUCGAACCUAGAAAUUGUACUCUCCUCAAUCCGCUUAAGAGAAUCUGGCUGAUGGCUUUGGUCUGAGAGUUCAGACAUCUCUUGUGCAGCUAAGAAAGACCUCAUUUUCCAUUUGCUGGAUCCUCCUGGUUUGUCAUCCCUGAAUCCUGUAAGAAGGUCAUCAGGAGGUCCCCUGCGCUAGAAGGACCAUGUGAGUUCAUCCCAGAUGAUGGGUGGCACCAUGGUUUUAGCAGCUCACACAGUGGAGAACCACAUUCGCUCUGGAAGAGCUUGGCAACAUGUAUUUGGUAACAGAACAAGGUCAGCUUGAGCUCUAUCCUUCUGUGGCUAUACUGAACAAAAGGAGAGAGAAAGGAAGAGAGAGAGACAGAGGCAGAGACAGGCAGAGACAGGCAGACAGAGACAGAGACAGAAACAGAGAAAUGAUUCCUGAAUUAUUUUUAAAAAUUAAUUUUAAAAUUCAGACCAAUUAAUCAGUAAUACAUGCCUGUAGUCUCAGCCUAGAACAGAUCAAACAGGAAAGUCUCAAGACUAAGGUCAGCCUGGACCACUGGAGAGUUUCAAAGAAAACAAAUUACCAUUUGGGCAUAAUGGCACACACCUUUUAAUUCCAGUCCUUGGGAAGCAGAGGCAAGUAGGUCUCUGAGUUCAGGACCCGCCUGGUCUACAGAGUGAGUUCCAGGUCAACCAGGGCUAUACAGAGAAACCUUAUCUCAAACCAACCAACAAAACCCACAGCAAACUGAAAACAGGUUAUCUUUUAAAAAGACAAUUUAGCCGGGCAGUGGUGGCGCAUGCCUUUAAUCCCAGCACUUGGGAGGCAGAGGCAGGCGGAUUUCUGAGUUUGAGGCCAGCCUGGUCUACAAAGUGAGUUCCAAGACAGCCGGGACUAUACAGAGAAACACUGUUUCGAAAAAACCAAAACAAAAAAGAUGACUUAGCCAGUUAUGGUGGCUCAUGCCUUUAAUCCCAGCACUUGCAAGGUAGACACAGGCAACGAGUUCAAGUCUAUCCAGGUCUAUAUAUUGAAUUCCAGGACACUCAGGGGUACAGAUUAGAGAGACUUCAUGUUUAACACACACACACACACACACACACCACUAUGUGAAUACAUAGAUUUAUGUGCAUUCUAUUCCAGAAAGCCUGUGGUGAUUAUAAAACAGUAAAAAUAGGUCACAGUAGAAAGGACCUUCAAGAUCCGCUUAGAACACUUACCUGUCACUUCUGUGUCACUUUACAUUUCUAUAAUUCAUCUUUUGAGGGAGGCUCAGAAUCGAUAUGAAAUGAUAUAUGUUUACCCCAAUCAGGCUCUCAUAUAUUCUAAGCUGGCCUUGAACUCCUGAUAUAGCAGAGGGUGGCCUUGAUCUGGGAGCAAAGGUGCUGUCAUUUCCAGCAGAGAAAUGAUAUCUAGACCAAAGACACAGCUUUUAUUAUAUAGCCAAUGCUUCUUUAAAUGCCUGGCAACCCUCCCUUCUGCAGUGCUUGAUGGUGUGUUACCGAAGGAGUUUUCCUAAACACCAGCACAAAUGAACGGGCACACAUCAAGCAUACAAGACCUGGAGGAGGGAGGGGGCCUUGCCGAUUCCUCAGAUGCAGUGAUGGAUGAGAAAAGUAAGGGUGGACCAGAGCAGCCACAGCAUUGAAAGUCUAUGGUUUCAUUUCACAGAAGUAGUUGUUCAGCUCUGUACUUGGUUUGCCAUUGGCAGUGUUGUAUAGAGAGGGCUGAGGCUCAAACCCAGGUCCUUACCACUAGGGCCUGUCAUUCUUAGCCUUCCAACCUUAAAAACAAACAAAACAACAACAACAACAACAACAAAACUUAUUUUGAUUUUCAUUUCAUUUCAUAUUGCACCCAGGAUCUAUUUUAAGAAAUCUUGUGUUAUAACCUGUGACCAAAAGUUAAGUAGCAGUUUUUCUAAUGUGUCUGCGUUUGCUAUAAAGAAUUGAAACUGAGCCAGGCAGUGUUGGUGCACGCCUUUACUCUCAGCACUUGGGAGGCAGAAGCAGAUGGAUUUCUGAGUUCAAGGCAAGCCUGGUCUACAGAGUGAGGACAGGACUGCCAGGGUUAUACAGAGAAACCCUAUCUCCAAAGGGGGUGGGGUGGGAGUGGGGGACAGUUUGAAACUGAGUAUUUUCAUUGUCUGGCACUUUAUAACAGGUCUUAUUUGGUAUUGACAUUGGUAUUUGGAAUGAGCAUUUGAAGGUUUUAAAAGCUUCGGUAUUUAUUUUGUUCUAAAAUAAAGUACUUUUUCCCUCUG
Molecule: long non-coding RNA, 2642 nt
Filed under: Mus caroli (Ryukyu mouse)
Lineage: Eukaryota; Metazoa; Chordata; Mammalia; Rodentia; Muridae
Description: lncRNA (MGP_CAROLIEiJ_G0013631.1)
Rfam family: SOX2 overlapping transcript exon 3 (bases 109-380)
Source: RNAcentral